This 768-nucleotide long non-coding RNA is filed under the name Olea europaea (common olive). RNAcentral describes it as "long non-coding RNA (OEUR_LNC015225)". Lineage: Eukaryota; Viridiplantae; Streptophyta; Magnoliopsida; Lamiales; Oleaceae. The record is from RNAcentral.
GACAAGAUCAAAGGAUACAGCAUACCAGACUUUUGCAUAAAAUUCACAUCAUUUAUCCAUUAAAAAACACAUGAAUCUUAAGGAAAAAAAAUUCACGCAAUUACUAGAAUGAAAACCCUAAUUAUUCGGGGCAUAGGGGUUCUAAUACUAGAACAGUACACAAUGAAUUACUGUAAAACGAAGGCCAAUUUGAUGCAUAUAAUAAGUAGAAAAAUGAAAUCAGAUAAAACUAAUUACUUUUACGUAAGAAAGGGAAAAUAAAGUGCCCAUGUCUUCACUUACUUGUUAAAAAAGUAACUUUUAGACCUAAUAAAAUAUACUCUUAUUCAAAAGACUAUAAAAAACUGAGGAGCUACUGGAUCUUCAGACGGGUGAACUGCCCAAGUACAAGGCUGAAUCUCUCUAGUUAUAGACACUGGACAGUACCCAACCAGAGUUGCCUUAGCUUCGGAAGAAGCGGCCGAACCGAAGGACAUGGCAUCCACAUAUCCGCUCGGUUUAGCUUCUGCCUCGCCUUUGGAACCAUCUACUGCUUUUUCAUUCUUUUUUUGGCCUUUGGAAUCAUCUUCUUUUCCUUUCUUUUCCUGUCUUUUGUUGAACCAAGAUAGAAGCCCCAUAAUUAUGAUUAACUAAUGAAAUAUGGGAGGAAUUUUAGGUUUUCUGAAUUUAUAGAAGAUUAAAAGAGAUGACGGAAUUAGGGUUUUGCUUAUGUAGCAUACAAUCAAAUCUCAAAGGGAAAGUUGAUUUAUUUGGUAAAUUACCUUAGAA